RNAcentral lists this long non-coding RNA (5639 nucleotides) under Canis lupus familiaris (dog). RNAcentral's name for it is "lncRNA (ENSCAFG00000051394.1)". Lineage: Eukaryota; Metazoa; Chordata; Mammalia; Carnivora; Canidae. The record is from RNAcentral.
UUCUGUAUUCUUUUUUUAUUUUUCAAACAGCAAGUGUCCACAUUUAAAAUGCAGAAUUUGCAAAUAUAAAUUAGUCUAAUAAUUCAUUUAAAAAUGAAACAAAACAGCUUCCUGUAGUAUCACAAUACAUAAAAUGGUAUUAUAAACCCCCAAGUGGUAAGGUUAACUACAUGACAACAAUGCCUGAAGCUGUGAAACUCAUUAAACCACUUAAUGAAUAAUAGGUCAGUUUGAAGAACAGGUCUAUGUUCCAUGACUAUGCAUGAAACAAGCUUUCAUUGUAUUAUAAAGGCUCAGCAAUUCAUUCAUAUCAUAAUAUGGGGUCAAGCAAGAUUUUAUUUUUACAAUGACAAUUUAAAAAAUGCAUUUAAACAAACAAACAGAAGUCCCCCCGAUUGUUUAAAAACAAUUCUAUUUGGAGGGUAAAAUAUACUUUAAAACAUACCGACUUACCAGAUUUCAAUUGUCAGGCUGCUGACUACUGAUGUGAAAGUUUGUAUUUAAAAAUAUCACAAAUAUCUUUAACAGUGAAAAUUUCAAUGUGAUAAGUUUCAUUGCAAAGCAAUUUUCACCUGAGUAGAUUUUGAAAUUUAGUGCUCAUAUAUUUGGGGGGAGGUGGGGAAGGAAAGACCCACUUGUAUAAGAUACUGAGUUUACAGCUGAUUCUUUCACACAGAUAAUCCAGGGGGUUGAAGAAACAUCUGCUGUGACCUUCCCAGGACACAUGAUGCCCCUCUUUCUCCUGGAGAUUUGUUCUGACAUUAUGAAUUCUCAGUAUCCAUAAUAUUUCCACUUAGUUACCCAUUCAAGCAUAGCAACCCAAUUCAUUCAGUUUUAUACAACAGUGUCUAUAUUAUGUACAUGUUUAAUUAUCAAUAGGAAAUAGAAAAUAAAAAUUUACAGUGACUGAGAAAAGGGUCAGAAAACGGGAUAGGAAAAGUAAUACUGUAUAAUCAGAAUAUCCUAUAUUAUCCUACCAGUUUUAAUGACAGGGUUUUUCCUUUAUUAGUUGAAAUACAAAGAAGGCAUAGGGGAUCCCAGGAAAAUAACACUAUAUAUCAGAAAAUUCAACGUGCUCCACCAUCAGGAUUUCCAUCACACAUUUAAUUUCUUCUGUACAAUUUUUAUAAACGUGUUUGUCUUUUCAAAAUCAUCAGAUUUCCAGAUUAAAUUCAGCACUACACAGUAUGCCCUUGAAGUAAAAUGAGGUUACCUGCUUUAUUUGGAUACCAAGUUCCCUUCCAGACAGCAUUAAAAUAAAGACAAGACUACACAGAUAAAAUCCAGUAUAAUUCAAAUCCAACAAUGAAAAAUUUCCCCCAUAUUGUUGCAAAAUUCGUUCUACUGAAAUGCUUUGCUACAAUAAUAAAAAGCAUACAUUACAUAUAAAAGAUACCAGUGUACUAAAAAGUGACAGAAGUGGACUAGCAAAUCCUUCAAAGCACAUUAUAUAAAUGACUAGCAUUUAAAAACAUUUCUCCUAUAAAAUGUAGGUCAUAUACAUUUAUAAAUUGGCGGUUUUAUUUCUAAAGCAGUGAUGUGUGUGUUCAAAUAGUUAGCUGUUCUGUACAGUAUAAUAUCUACUCAAUUCAAACUACAAUAGGUUUGUCUUUCUUUGUAUUGAAGUUGAAUAAAUUCAUCUGAUCAGCUGAGAAAUCAAGCUUGAAAAAUAAGUAUCUAAAAAUCAAAGUAGAAAGUUGAGAAUUAUUGAAAUGUAGCUAUGAAAUAUGAAGAGAACUAUUUCACAAUGGAGCUGAAGUCACCUCAAAACUUAUGGGCUUGAAUCUAAAACAGAAACAAAUAUUAAAAUCCAAAGCAAACCACAAAGUUAGGUAGCAGUACAGAAGCAGGAAAACAAAACAAAACAAAACAACACACCCCCUUCCUUCAGUGUGAUGGGCACUAAGUUUUGCGGUCUUCCUCCAUCUUGCAGAAGAGUGGUAAGGCCAUUCAAUGCUUAGUGAGAGUGAGUACAGAUGAAGUCAGAUUUAGCCUGUCUCCCCUGCAACUUCAAUUAUGCUGUGUAAACAGUGUUAUGUUCCAAUAGGAGGAACAAUGGAAUUUGCUUAUAAAAACUGAUUAAAGAUAAUCAUUAUUAAAUGAAAUAAGGAUAAUUAAUAACUCUGAAAUGUUUUUAGAACUUUCCUGAUGCUACUUGUAAAGUUAGCACUGCUAUGUAUUAUUGCUUACAUACAGUACAACAUCAUAUGCCUUCUAAUAUAAAGCAGUACUGUGAUUUGUUUGUACAUAUUUACAGAUUCUUAAAAACAAGCUGUAAAAACAUUACAUACUUUCAGACAAUACAAAUUAGCACAUUGGUACUCACUUCAAAACAAAUGGAAUGCAUAACAUUAAUAAACAUCAUAAAGGAAGACUCACAUAAAAGUCCUUGAUUGUCAAGACACGUUUAUAUAUAAACUCUAACUGUGCAGAAUUAAAGAUUCAAUCAUAGGUACAUCCUUAUUUGAUGAACCAUAUUUACAGCAUGGUAUUGCAUAAAAAAAUAAAAUAAUGUUUACAGGGUUUUACUUUUUUAUCCAUUGGAUUAAAGAAAGCAACAAACACAACAAGAAAUGUUUGUCUGCUUUAGUUUUGUUUCCUACCAAAGUUUAAGUGAAAAAAGGAAACAUACGGUUUUAUUUGCAGAAUAUAGCAAAAACAACUGGAAAAUUAUUUCCCUGAAAUAAAGCAAUUUGAAACGGAAAAAGUUUAAAUUAAAUUGCAGUGUCAAAAAGUUUCUCAUUGAUUAUAAUAGUGCUUCUUCAAGUAAUUCUACUGUGAAAAAACAAGUUCUAGUUAAGAUGUUCUAUGUCUAAGAAAUGUAGUACUACAGUAAUGCCUACUUUUAAAGUUUCCCGGCUUUUUUUUUUUUAAACAGCCCUUUAAAAACUCAAAUUGAUAAAAUGAAAGAAGUGGCAAAAGAUCUAACCUAGCUGGCACUUGCAAGUUUCUCUCCCCUGUGGAAAUGAAAGCCUACCCUGAGCACAAGACCUCUUUUGCCUCUCAGAAAGAGAAAAUUACCCAACCACUGACAGUCCUCAGCCAGAGCUAAAAGGAUGGGUUUCUAUGGUAUCAAGUAGAAAAUCUGCAAGUAAAUCCAAAAGAUUUAAGAGCCACCCAAAUAUUCUGAACCAAAUGAAAUAUGUAUACAAUAGUUAAAAGAAAAAAAAAAAAACCCACAAGCUUUUAGAAGAUGUUCAGCAGAUAUUACCUCAUCUAACACGAUCUGUUUCCAAUCUUCAAACGUUAAGAGUAGGUCCUAAGUGAAAAAGCAUACUUCACUCACAUUGACCCGAAGUUUAAUGGUGUGUAAGAGCAUGUUUUAAUAGAACAAUUUGCUCACUGAUAGAAAUGAGAAAAACAUAUUGCAAAAGGGUAUCUCAUAUCCUCAAUAUUCUGAUCUACGGCAGCACAAAAGGCUACUUACUUGUACUAUUAAUGCCCAGAUAGAAAUGAAGGAACUUUCUAAACUGAAGUGGGGAAACCCAAACUGCUGAGAUGUUUAUCAUAUGAUGAUAAUAUAAGGUAACUCUGGUAGGCAUUUAGAAUUUCACAGUAAGAGAGUGAUGACUACUAUACUUAAAUGGUGAGUCAACAAGUUAUGCCAAAGUAUCACCUUUCUCAAAAAUGCUUAUAAUGUGGUAGAAAAGUCUGCCAUUACGUAGAUUUAAAGAAAUGUGUUGAAGACAGGAAUUCAACACCUGAAAUUCCGCUUGCAUAACUACCAUUUUCAGAGGCCUUCCUUCCUUAGCUUACCCUAACUGCUCAGCAAUAGAGUCACAUUCUAAAAACUGUGCUGGUGAUGUUAAAGCAAACAUAAAACUGUAUACUAUACCAAGAACUACAUCAAGUUGUUAACAGAACAAAAUUUUUGAUCAGGCUCAAAUAAAAAUCAACUCAGGAAAUAAAUGCCUAUUUUCAAAUAGUAGUAUGAGAAAAAUACAAAUGCCUAUAUAGGAUGAGCACAGUUCCAUCUUUAACAUCUCAUCUGAAUAAAGGCUUCUUGCAAUUGUGUGAUGUGUAACCCAACACACACCAUUCUUAAAAGUCAAUAAUGGCAGAACUUAAAUAUCUACUUCAAAGAAGUCUAAAAUUCUUGAGAAAUCUGGCAGCAAAGAAAGCUGUCAAAUAGGAAAAUUAAUAUUUCAAGCAAAGCUUAAUAACCAAAGCAUAGAGGAAACCACAUUAAACAUAAUUUAUACUUAUUAUCACAAAACACCAAAAUAUUCAAAAUAAAUGUAAAAGAUGUUAAGGGUGGUGGGUAUUUCCUUUGUUCCCUUUCUUUAUGAGAACACUCUGGGGAUACCAUUAAAUAAAAGAAAAAAAUAACUUAAAUGUAUAACAUUCUAUACUGAAAUAAAGACUGCAGAUCUAUAUAAGGGCCAAUAUAAAAAGUUAAAGUGGAAAUUAGCAACAAUAAAGUUUCACCUUCCAAGGAUAUUAAUUUUAGAUUAUCAUUGGUGCUACAUCAGUAUGUGCAUCAUGACAAAGAUGUUGGAAAUUAAAAUAAACAAAAAGUUGGAACAAAUUAAAGAGGAUAGUAAAAUCAACAGAACUAAUGUUAUUUUCCAAAAAUUAAAACUGUCCAAUGUGUAACUCAAACCGUCAAUUCUUUAGAAAAGUAUAUAUAUGUGUUUAUAUAAAAGCACUAUUUAUUGUACCAUGCUGUAUUAUUUUAAGACAAAGUAUUAAAAAAAAAAAACAUUCGUGGUAUAAGGAUAAAGUCUGUAGUUUAUUUAGAUUUUGAAAUGCAACAAAAAGUUUCCGAUCACUCAUCUAGCUGAAAAAGAAAUUGUAGUUACUAGAAUUAGUAAACACUUUUGGUUUGUAAAAUUGUAAUGAGCAGUGUUCAUUAAAAAGUAAUUCAAGAUAAAAUAAGCAAUUAAAAUGCCCAUUUCUUUAGUUUCUCUGGAUACUGUUUAAUUAUCCAAUCUAUCAAGAUUCUAGAAAGAGAAGGAUUAAACCAGGUUUUACAGUUCCAAAGAUACCCAAUUUCCUUUUAUUGCCAAAAUUAAAAUAGUCAAUUAUGAGAUGAUUAUGACACAACCAUAUCAAACCUAAAAAUCUAAUUUUUUUUUUACUUUGAGAAAUCAAAAAUACCAAAUAGAUUCUAAGUGCUCUAUGUUAACUGAAGUGUAUAUGUAAAGUAAAAUACAAUUAAGCUUUAAAACGUGGAAUAUACAUUUUGUGUAAGCAUUAUGUUCUUGGGAAUGUAAUCUACAGAAUAUCUUUUUACUAAAACUUCAAAACCUUGAUACCUGCACAUGAAAAAUCAUAAAAAAUAUCUAAGUACAACUGUACAAAGAAACUGACACCAAUAUGCAUACUUCCAUAGAGAAGUGAAUGCUUCAACAGUUACGUAUUUUGGUAAAAGUUUUGAAAGUAUGCAUAUUUUAAAAGUAAUUAGGCUUUUAAAUAGUGGAGUCUUAGACUAUCAGAUUUUUAUUAUUUUUUCUCAAAAAAAAAAAACAUGUCAAUAUAAUGCAAAAUGAAAAUCAAGGGUAUAUGGCAUUAUCAUUCUUAUUAAAAGGUGGUUUCUUGGUUUCUUUUUUUCCCCCUAUAGGACACACUAAUUUAUUUAAGCCAUAAUCUCUUGACAUUUAAACUUUUAAGUUCACUCUGUCUGUAAAGUAUACUCA